Harmonia axyridis is the source of this 1388-nucleotide long non-coding RNA. RefSeq lists it as uncharacterized. The record is from RefSeq and is a predicted model, not a curated record. NCBI's taxonomy places the organism in Eukaryota, Metazoa, Arthropoda, Insecta, Coleoptera, Coccinellidae. The transcript is spliced from 2 exons.
ACCCAGCAAACCAUGUUGUUAUAUGCGCCUUCCCGUUACAUAACAUCCCUAAGAAAUGAGGUAUAUACCUGAUACAUCUCAAAACUAAUGUAUCUGAUACAUAACAUUUCAUAUAUCCAUGAAAUUAUUUGACUUAUUCAUAUAUCAUAUAUGUAACAUUGUUAUAUUACUGAAGUUACGUAUAUGAUACAUCUUCCAGCAUCCCUAAAAACAAUAUUACUCUGAUAUCUACUAGUGUGUAAUAUAGUUACAUAUCAUAUAUGUAACAUUCGCAAUAUAUAUUUUACAUUGCUAAUAUUAUGUAAAAGCUAUGUAAAUAUAGCAUAUUCAUGAUAUAUUACUCAGAUCUAUACAAGUACUCUUAUAAUACAUAACCUUUAUUAAAGUUGAACUGUUUAGAGAUUUUUGCCAGGACUAGUGCAGUGAAAAGUGAUAUGCAUUUUCUAACUUUUGAUUGUUAGUUAGAAGUGAUGAACUAUAAUAAUAAUAAUAUUCAAUAUUCUUUGAUUUUUCAUCAAUUCCGGAUUACUUUCAUCGUGGAAAUAUGUGAGAUAAGAAGUGAAAAACUGUAAUAAUAAUAUUCAACAUUCGAUGAUUUUUCACCAAUUCCAGAUUAGUUUCAUAGUGAAAAUAUGUGAGGUAAGUGAAUAUAAGUAUACUUCGACAACGUAACUACAUUUAGAUAUAUAAAUGCUGUUUUAUGUGCCUUUCAUUUUGCUUUUGUACUUGCAUGCCUGUUAAUAACAUAGGUAUAUUUGCUGCAUGUUUUUGUGGAUCGUUAAUGGAAUGUGUGCAUGGUUUCUGUCUUCUUCAUUCAAAUUAUAUGCAUUUUGAUAUUUUUCCUUUUUAUGGUAAUUUGCAUUUGGGUGUAUAUAGUUCUGAAGUAAUACCACAAUUGUUUUAUCAUCUAAAUAAGAAGUAUCUGAAUAGUGCGCUAGUUUUUACUACUUAGACUAUUUUUCUGCUAUAUUUUAUUUAUGUUUGUGAUGUAUAUACCUAUGUUAUUCUCUGCUAUUCGUGAAAUUAAAACAUCUAGAUUUCAUAUAUGCACAAUACACUUUUCUUCCAUCAUUAUUAAUGACCAAUGUCAGAUCACAUAAGGAUGCUUUUUGAGAAAUAGAUUCUGAUAAGUUUAAUCAAAUGUUUUAGUAUGAUAUAAAUAAUUUUGCUGUUUCAGGGUGAGGAAUCACCUCCUGAAGUUUACUCAUGUAUUCAAAACUUUCAUAACUUUAUAUUAUGUUUUGCAUCUCAAUCUUUUAUCCAAUGUGCAGACUUUGAGAAGAUAGAUAUCAGCCGAGUGGAUAAGGCUGGCCACAUUGAGGAUCAAGAGACAAAAAUAAGUUUUGGUUGAUGUAGGUACUUUGAUUACAUUAAAAAUUUUCAAUAAU